RNA transcript from Cryptomeria japonica (Japanese cedar), 1884 nucleotides. It is a transcript of the gene named agamous-like MADS-box protein AGL65, with no coding region annotated. The record is from RefSeq and is a predicted model, not a curated record. Lineage: Eukaryota; Viridiplantae; Streptophyta; Pinopsida; Cupressales; Cupressaceae. The transcript has 13 exons.
UCCUGUUCACACCAAAAUAACGUCUAGUUAGAGUAUUUAACAUUAAAUUAUUACCAGUCAUAAAUAUACAGCAAAAAGUUUGUGUCACCUUAUAAUUUAGAGCAGUUUUGUUUCAUUUGUUUUCCUCCUGGUUUUUUGACAGACUCAACGCAGAAAACCAGAUAAGCCCUAGAAUAGAAUAUCAUUUUUUUCCAAUCUAAGCUGCUUUGGCGGUGCGUUUGUAGUUUGGAAAAGGGUUUUCUUUUUCUCUUUUUCUUUUAUGAGAAGUUGCGUCUGAUAAGAAAUCGAUUUCCAGCAGCCCGGAGGAGGAGGAGGAGGAGGAGGAGGAGGAAGCUGCAUGUGCUGAUAAGAAAUAGAUCAGAAAAAGAUUAAGAGAAUAGCAUAAAGAUCUGCAAGAUUAAUGCAAGUUCCCUAUCUUAUUUUUUCACACUUGAUCAUUGUUUGCUCGUUCCUCCUGUACCUUUGCAUCUACUUAAGUCAAACUCAUAUUAACUUUGAGGAUGAGAAGCAUUGUUAAUCAUGGGGAGAGUUAAGCUCCAAAUCAAGAAAAUAGAAAACAACACAAACAGGCAGGUUACCUACUCCAAGAGGCGAAAUGGACUUAUUAAGAAGGCAUAUGAGCUCUCCAUCCUUUGUGAUAUUGAUAUUGCACUUAUUAUGUUUUCGCCCUCUGGGAGAUUGAGUCAUUUUUCAGGGAAAAAAAGCAGGAUCGAGGAUGUUAUAACACGUUAUGUCAAUCUACCUGAACAUGAGAGGGGCAGGCUUCAAAAUCAAGAACUUCUAAAUAAAGGAUUGAAGAAAUUGAAUCGCGACGGUGAACUUGCCAAUCAUCUAGCAAGCACAGGAAACAUUCCAAACAUUGAGGAUCUUCAAAGGGAAAUCAAUACGUGGAGAUUGCAACUAGCAGAUGCAGAAUCAAGAUUAAGGUGUUUGGAAGCAGAUCCCCAUAUGAUAAAUUCACUACAAGAUGCAGAGUUUUAUGAGAGAGUUCUUGAAGAAUCCUUAACUAGAAUUCGAGCUAAAAAGCAAUACUUUGAACAAACUAGAAUGAUCUCAUAUGGCCAAUCAAAUAUACAGAUUUAUAUGCAACAACAAAAUGGAAAUCCAAGUUGUGCUAGUUCAAGUGAGAGUCAAAUGCUAAGUUGGGUAUCACAAAGAGAACCACAGAUAGGUGCUCAAAAUUGUUUAGAACCUGGCAAUACUGAUGGCACAAUAGGAUUUAGGGACAUUGUGGCAGAAUGCAUGCCUGUAAAUAUUUUCACAUCUGUUCAACAAGGCAAUGGCAACAUGCAGCUUGUAAAUCAUACAAGUGAUUCCAAUAAACCACAUUUGAAUUUUGAUUAUCCUCCUCUGGAAGGCAACACUAGUGAUGAACAUAUUGAGCAUGAUAUGACAGGAAAUGAUUAUGGUUCUACAGUGGCUCUUUCUUCCCAAUGGCAAUCAAUGUAUGGAAAUAGCUUGAUGACGCCUUUAUCAAUUGUGCAAAAUAAUUGCUCUUAUGUACAGGGAUUGGCAAUGACGGACAAUGUUUCAAACAUGAUAUCACAUCAAAGCCAACACCAACAUGAAGACUCGUCUUAAGAGGAUGCGAUUGAUGCACCUUACUACUCUAACAUGGGGGAUGCACCUCAUUCUAAUUACGUGGAUGUUGAUAUGGAAGAUCAAAUGGAGCAUUGUAAACUGUGUAAUAAGGAGGGUCAUACAAAGGAGAUAUGUUUGAUCGGUCCCAAAGGUAAGACAGUGGAAUCUAUGAUGGAAGUUGUUGUGGCAAAGUUUUUGGAAGAGGAGAACAAGGCCCAACAGGGGAAGAAUGGAAGUGUCGGGGCUUCGGCAUUAACGAAACAACCCCAAGUUCAAAGGAUCAGCGGAGAACAUCAAGAAUAG